AUACUUACCUGGCACAGGAGAUACCGUGAUCACGAAGGCGGUUUUCCCAGGGCGAGGCUCACCAUUGCACUCCGGUGGUGCUGACCCCUGCGAUUAACCCAAAUGUGGUUAACUCGAGUGUGCAAUUUUUGGUAGCGGGGGACUGCGUUCGCGCUAUCCCCCU
RNAcentral lists this small nuclear RNA (163 nucleotides) under Penaeus chinensis. RNAcentral's name for it is "U1 spliceosomal RNA". It matches the Rfam family "U1 spliceosomal RNA". From Rfam's summary of the family: U1 is a small nuclear RNA (snRNA) component of the spliceosome (involved in pre-mRNA splicing). Its 5' end forms complementary base pairs with the 5' splice junction, thus defining the 5' donor site of an intron. The record is from RNAcentral. Lineage: Eukaryota; Metazoa; Arthropoda; Malacostraca; Decapoda; Penaeidae.